This 637-nucleotide ribosomal RNA is filed under the name uncultured bacterium. RNAcentral describes it as "bacterial SSU rRNA". It matches the Rfam family "Bacterial small subunit ribosomal RNA", at positions 57 to 740 of the family's 1533-position model. The record is from RNAcentral.
GCAAGUCGAACGAAGUCUUCGGACUUAGUGGCGGACGGGUGAGUAACACGUGGGAACGUGCCUUUAGGUUCGGAAUAACUCAGGGAAACUUGUGCUAAUACCGAAUGUGCCCUUCGGGGGAAAGAUUUAUCGCCUUUAGAGCGGCCCGCGUCUGAUUAGCUAGUUGGUGAGGUAAAGGCUCACCAAGGCGACGAUCAGUAGCUGGUCUGAGAGGAUGAUCAGCCACAUUGGGACUGAGACACGGCCCAAACUCCUACGGGAGGCAGCAGUGGGGAAUCUUGCGCAAUGGGCGAAAGCCUGACGCAGCCAUGCCGCGUGAAUGAUGAAGGUCUUAGGAUUGUAAAAUUCUUUCACCGGAGACGAUAAUGACGGUACCCGGAGAAGAAGCCCCGGCUAACUUCGUGCCAGCAGCCGCGGUAAUACGAAGGGGGCUAGCGUUGCUCGGAAUUACUGGGCGUAAAGGGAGCGUAGGCGGACAUUUAAGUCAGGGGUGAAAUCCCGGGGCUCAACCUCGGAAUUGCCUUUGAUACUGGGUGUCUUGAGUGUGAGAGAGGUAUGUGGAACUCCGAGUGUAGAGGUGAAAUUCGUAGAUAUUCGGAAGAACACCAGUGGCGAAGGCGACAUACUGGCUCAUUAC